AUCCAUAUAGUUUAAGCAAACAUUACAUUUUCACUGUAAAAAUAAUACAAAAGUAUUUAUAGAUA
Molecule: transfer RNA, 65 nt
Filed under: Ommexecha virens
Lineage: Eukaryota; Metazoa; Arthropoda; Insecta; Orthoptera; Ommexechidae
Description: tRNA-Glu
Source: RNAcentral